RNAcentral lists this long non-coding RNA (942 nucleotides) under Phascolarctos cinereus (koala). Its description in RNAcentral is "lncRNA (ENSPCIG00000034164.1)". The record is from RNAcentral. Lineage: Eukaryota; Metazoa; Chordata; Mammalia; Diprotodontia; Phascolarctidae.
UAAUUUGUAGUCCAAAGUUUCCUAUGGCCCAUAUGAAAAGUAAGUUGGGAAGAGUUAUCUCCUUCCUGGGGGUGAGUAGAAAUAUCGUGUGUGUGUGUAUGUGUGUGUGUGUGUGUGUGUUGUGUGUGUGUGUGUGUGUGUGUGUGAUAGAGAGAGGAAGAGGGAGGGAGAGAGAGAGAGAGAGAAGUGCAAAUGAGCAUGUGUGUUCCAGAGUGAGUGUGUAUUCAUUAAAAAAAAAAAGAAAAGAAAAGAAAAGGUAGAAACCCCUGGUCAGCUAACAUUCAGGAGAAAAGGAAAAUAAAAAGAAAAAAAAAGCUAACAACCCUGCCUAUCUCCAAAUUUGAGCCCCUCCCCUCAGCAUGUGAGCUGUAAAGAGAAUGACACAUGUGCUGUUUCCUUUCCCAGUUGUCGAAGGGUCAGGAACCAGACAAGAACAAGAGGAGACUUCUCCAGGAGACUCCUGCCUUUUUCUGAUCCUUCCAGCUGUUCUGCUCAAUCUCCCCAGCCCUCCCUGAGCCAGCCGAGACCAGUGGCCCAGGGCGCUCUGGAGUCUGUCAGUUAUGAGUGACCCAAACAGUACAACAGUGGAUGACGCAGGAGACACCAGUCCAGGGAAUGACAUCACCAUCAUUGCAGGUGAGCAAGCUCUCUGAGAACAGAAACUUUAACCUUGCUUUCGGAAUCCCUUCCCCAUAUCUACCUCCUAGACAGGACAAAAUUCCAGUUUUGGCUUUGGUAUUCCCUGUCCCAUUUACCCAUUCCACUUUUGAAAUUCUUCCCGUUACCCUUUCUGUGGGCCCUCUAAAUGAAUCUAGCUCCAGGGUUUCUGGACUUCCAGGAACUAUAGUCACUUUUAUCACCUUAUACCUUAGGCCAUGGGUAGAGAACCUGCAGCCUCGAGGCCACAUAUGGCCUUCUAGGUGCUUGGGUACAGCCUUUUGA